Molecule: ribosomal RNA, 253 nt
Filed under: uncultured bacterium
Lineage: Bacteria
Description: partial 16S ribosomal RNA
Rfam family: Bacterial small subunit ribosomal RNA
Source: RNAcentral
UACGUAGGGCGCAAGCGUUAUCCGGAAUUAUUGGGCGUAAAGAGCUCGUAGGCGGUUUGUCGCGUCUGCCGUGAAAGUCCGGGGCUCAACUCCGGAUCUGCGGUGGGUACGGGCAGACUAGAGUGAUGUAGGGGAGACUGGAAUUCCUGGUGUAGCGGUGAAAUGCGCAGAUAUCAGGAGGAACACCGAUGGCGAAGGCAGGUCUCUGGGCAUUAACUGACGCUGAGGAGCGAAAGCAUGGGUAGCAAACAGG